This 337-nucleotide long non-coding RNA is filed under the name Chrysolophus pictus (golden pheasant). Its description in RNAcentral is "lncRNA (ENSCPIG00010007961.1)". Lineage: Eukaryota; Metazoa; Chordata; Aves; Galliformes; Phasianidae. The record is from RNAcentral.
GUACCGGCGGCGGGCAGGCAGGCAGGCAGCGCGACCGCCCCCAGCCCUCCAGCUGGCUCCUACAGCCUCUAGUUGCCAAGGCUCCUGAGAGAGGGUGAGGGGUGACAUCUGAGCCCCUCCAAAACCAAAGCCUCAUGUCCACGCUCGCUAACGUUACCAGUUCUGCAUCGUGCUGAAGUGUGGACACAUCAGAGAAGAACAACCCAUCUAGCACGGGACAGCUUGGAGGAGUGGUAUUGUGUGCACCAGAAAUGCGAGAGGAAUUGAAGGUGAGCCCCAGACCUGCCUGUGGUCGGCACUCUCUGACUUCGGCCACACCGCGCAGAUGGAGCAACAU